Molecule: ribosomal RNA, 248 nt
Filed under: uncultured Lachnospiraceae bacterium
Lineage: Bacteria; Bacillati; Bacillota; Clostridia; Lachnospirales; Lachnospiraceae
Description: partial 16S ribosomal RNA
Rfam family: Bacterial small subunit ribosomal RNA
Source: RNAcentral
UACGUAUGGUGCAAGCGUUAUCCGGAUUUACUGGGUGUAAAGGGUGCGUAGGUGGCAUGGCAAGUCAGAAGUGAAAGGCCGGGGCUCAACCCCGGGACUGCUUUUGAAACUGGCUUGCUUGAGUUGGAGAGAAGUAGGCGGAAUGCGCGGUGUAGCGGUGAAAUGCGUAGAUAUUAGAAGGAACACCAGUGGCGAAGGCGACUUGCUGGGCCAUUACUGACGCUGAGGCACGAAAGCGUGGGGAGCAA